UUUAAAUGUAAAAUAAAUAUACUAAAGUAGUAUUAGUUAUGUUCUUGAAAUUUAAAGAUUUUGGCGGUAUUUUAGUCUAUUUAGAGGAGCCUGUUCUGUGAUUGAUAAUCCACGAUUAAUUUUACUUAAUUUAUAUAAAUUUGUAUACCGUCGUUAUAAGAAGAUUUUAAAAGAAUAUAAAUUUUUAAUAUUUUAUAUAAAAAAAUAUAUCAGAUCAAGGUGCAGUUUAUAGUUAAGAAGAAAUGGGCUACAAUAAAUAUAUUUAUAUGGAUUAAAGUAAGAAUUUGACUUUAUGAAAGUGGAUUUAAUAGUAAUAAAAUUAAUUUAAAUUUUAUGAUUUUAGCUCUAAAAUAUG
This 355-nucleotide ribosomal RNA is filed under the name Carabus coriaceus coriaceus. RNAcentral's name for it is "partial 12S ribosomal RNA". The record is from RNAcentral. Lineage: Eukaryota; Metazoa; Arthropoda; Insecta; Coleoptera; Carabidae.